Molecule: ribosomal RNA, 315 nt
Filed under: uncultured eukaryote
Lineage: Eukaryota
Description: partial 18S ribosomal RNA
Rfam family: Eukaryotic small subunit ribosomal RNA
Source: RNAcentral
CCCUUAGAUGUUCUGGGCCGCACGCGCGCUACACUGACUGGUGCAACAAGUGUCGCUCCUUGGCCGAUAGGCCUGGGCAAUCUUUGAACGCCAGUCGUGAUGGGGAUAGAUUCUUGCAAUUUUUGAUCUUCAACGAGGAAUUCCUAGUAAACGCGAGUCAUCAACUUGCAUUGAUUACGUCCCUGCCCUUUGUACACACCGCCCGUCGCACCUACCGAUUGAAUGGUCCGGUGAAGCCUCCGGAUUGGCGCGCACCUCGGUGCCGCCGAGAAGUUGGCUAAACCUUACCAUUUAGAGGAAGGUGAAGUCGUAACA